GAUGAACGCUAGCUACAGGCUUAACACAUGCAAGUCGAGGGGAAACGAUAGAGAAAGCUUGCUUUUUCUAGGCGUCGACCGGCGCACGGGUGAGUAACGCGUAUCCAACCUGCCCACCACUUGGGGAUAACCUUGCGAAAGUAAGACUAAUACCCAAUGAUAUCUCUAGAAGACAUCUGAAAGGGAUUAAAGAUUUAUCGGUGAUGGAUGGGGAUGCGUCUGAUUAGCUUGUUGGCGGGGUAACGGCCCACCAAGGCUACGAUCAGUAGGGGUUCUGAGAGGAAGGUCCCCCACAUUGGAACUGAGACACGGUCCAAACUCCUACGGGAGGCAGCAGUGAGGAAUAUUGGUCAAUGGGCGAGAGCCUGAACCAGCCAAGUAGCGUGCAGGAUGACGGCCCUAUGGGUUGUAAAACUGCUUUUAUAAGGGAAUAAAAGUGAGCCCUCGUGAGGCUUUUUUGCAUGUACCUUAUGAAUAAGGACCGGCUAAUUCCGUGCCAGCAGCCG
RNAcentral lists this ribosomal RNA (506 nucleotides) under uncultured bacterium. Its description in RNAcentral is "bacterial SSU rRNA". It matches the Rfam family "Bacterial small subunit ribosomal RNA", at positions 28 to 517 of the family's 1533-position model. The record is from RNAcentral.